CUGCCCAAUGAAAAAUUUAAUGGCCGCAGUAUUUUGACUGUGCAAAGGUAGCAUAAUAAAUAGUCUUUUAAUUGAAGACUGGAAUGAAUGAGGGGAUGAAAUUUAAACUGUCUCAUAUUAAAGAAUAAAAAUUUAUUUUAAGUAAAAAAUCUUAAAUAAUUUUAAGGGACGAGAAGACCCUAUAGAAUUUUAAAUUUUUUUUUAAAUUAAAAAAAUAUUAAUAUAGGUUUAAUUUAAUUAAAAAUUUUUUAUUGGGAGGAUAUUAAAAUUUAAUUAACUUUUAAUUUUAAAUUACAUUAAUUAAUGAAUUUAUGAGUAUUAGUUGUAUAAAAAGAUAAAAUUACCUUAGGGAUAACAGCGUAAUAAAUUUUUAAAGUUCAAAUUGAAAAAUUUGUUUGCGACCUCGAUGUUGAAUUAAAAUAUAAUUUAAGUGAAGUAGCUUAAUAUUU
Molecule: ribosomal RNA, 449 nt
Filed under: Chrysis graelsii sybarita
Lineage: Eukaryota; Metazoa; Arthropoda; Insecta; Hymenoptera; Chrysididae
Description: partial 16S ribosomal RNA
Source: RNAcentral